AUCGUAAGGACAUGUGGAGCGCUUAGAAGUGAGAAUGCCGGUGUGAGUAGCGAAAGACGGGUGAGAAUCCCGUCCACCGAUUGACUAAGGUUUCCAGAGGAAGGCUCGUCCGCUCUGGGUUAGUCGGGUCCUAAGCUGAGGCCGACAGGCGUAGGCGAUGGAUAACAGGUUGAUAUUCCUGUACCACCUAUAAUCGUUUUAAUCGAUGGGGGGACGCAGUAGGAUAGGCGAAGCGUGCGAUUGGAUUGCACGUCUAAGCAGUAAGGCUGAGUAUUAGGCAAAUCCGGUACUCGUUAAGGCUGAGCUGUGAUGGGGAGAAGACAUUGCGUCUUCGAGUCGUUGAUUUCACACUGCCGAGAAAAGCCUCUAG
RNAcentral lists this ribosomal RNA (370 nucleotides) under Xanthomonas citri pv. citri. RNAcentral describes it as "partial 23S ribosomal RNA". It matches the Rfam family "Bacterial large subunit ribosomal RNA", at positions 1260 to 1624 of the family's 2925-position model. Lineage: Bacteria; Pseudomonadati; Pseudomonadota; Gammaproteobacteria; Lysobacterales; Lysobacteraceae. The record is from RNAcentral.